ACACACCAGUGUUUUCCCCUCAAGUGAGGCAGCGUUAGCAACUGCAGUCCCAGCUUCCUCUGCUGAGGUACAAGCGGCCACUGCCUGAUUUGUUGGAGGAGCGCUAGAGUCCAGUAUCUGAGGGACCCGGCAACACGCAGCUGUCACAGCUAGUGGCAGACAGCCACUUCUUCCCAGCUGCUUCGCCAGCCCUGGCAAGAGGGCACACUCUUCCAAAAGCCAGCCUGCCUGGGGAGGAGGUUGCUCCACACUGAAGAGGCCACCUGGUGGUAACUAUAAGAGCACAAUCCUUCUAUACUGAUCUUGGUGUAAGUCCUGUGCCUGUAAUUUAUUAACAUUCUGACCCUGGUACUGGAAGCAGUAGCCAUGUUAUGUUCUGUGAACAACAAGGUGGAGCAGGGCUGGUCUGGAUGAAAUGGCUUGGAGCACCUCAGUUCACAUGCCUCUGGUGAUCUGCUUAUUUACUCAGCUCAUAAGUAACAGAGCAAUAACAUAUGUCCUUCUCUCCAUUUGAGAUGCUUUUGGCCAUUGCUCUGACUGCUUCAUCCUCAUGUUUUAAGGCUCAGUUUAGUCUUCAUUGUAUCUCUAAGGCCUUUCUUGAUCUCCAACAAAAUAAUCAUGUCCAUGUCAAAUAUAG
Molecule: long non-coding RNA, 637 nt
Filed under: Homo sapiens (human)
Lineage: Eukaryota; Metazoa; Chordata; Mammalia; Primates; Hominidae
Description: non-protein coding lnc-TENM4-9:3
Source: RNAcentral